This 253-nucleotide ribosomal RNA is filed under the name uncultured bacterium. RNAcentral describes it as "partial 16S ribosomal RNA". It matches the Rfam family "Bacterial small subunit ribosomal RNA", at positions 524 to 776 of the family's 1533-position model. The record is from RNAcentral.
UACGAAGGGGGCUAGCGUUGUUCGGAAUUACUGGGCGUAAAGGGCGCGUAGGCGGUGUGUCAAGUCAGGUGUGAAAGCCCCCGGCUCAACCGGGGAACAGCAUUUGAUACUGGCAGACUCGAGGAUGGUAGGGGUGAGUGGAACUCCAGGUGGAGCGGUGAAAUGCGUAGAUAUCUGGAGGAACACCGGUGGCGAAAGCGGCUCACUGGACCAUCACUGACGCUGAGGUGCGAAAGCUAGGGUAGCAAACGGG